ACCCGCUGAACUUAAGCAUAUCAAUAAGCGGAGGAAAAGAAACCAACCGGGAUUGCCUCAGUAACGGCGAGUGAAGCGGCAAGAGCUCAAAUUUGAAAGCUGGCUCCUUCGGGGUCCGCAUUGUAAUUUGCAGAGGAUGCUUCGGGUGCAGCCCCCGUCUAAGUGCCCUGGAACGGGCCGUCAUAGAGGGUGAGAAUCCCGUAUGGGGCGGGGUGUCUGCGUCCGUGUGAAGCUCCUUCGACGAGUCGAGUUGUUUGGGAAUGCAGCUCUAAAUGGGUGGUAAAUUUCAUCUAAAGCUAAAUACUGGCCGGAGACCGAUAGCGCACAAGUAGAGUGAUCGAAAGAUGAAAAGCACUUUGAAAAGAGAGUUAAACAGCACGUGAAAUUGUUGAAAGGGAAGCGCUUGCAACCAGACUCGCUCGCGGGGUUCAGCCGGGCUUCGGCCCGGUGUACUUCCCCGCGGGCGGGCCAGCGUCGGUUUGGGCGGCCGGUCAAAGGCCUCCGGAAUGUAGCGCCCUUCGGGGCGCCUUAUAGCCGGGGGUGCAAUGCGGCCAGCCUGGACCGAGGAACGCGCUUCGGCACGGACGCUGGCAUAAUGGUUGUAAACGACCCGUCUUGAACCACGGAC
RNAcentral lists this ribosomal RNA (628 nucleotides) under Aspergillus terreus. Its description in RNAcentral is "eukaryotic LSU rRNA". It matches the Rfam family "Eukaryotic large subunit ribosomal RNA", at positions 23 to 666 of the family's 3401-position model. Lineage: Eukaryota; Fungi; Ascomycota; Eurotiomycetes; Eurotiales; Aspergillaceae. The record is from RNAcentral.